Molecule: ribosomal RNA, 417 nt
Filed under: bacterium enrichment culture clone ALO1_GLFRUDD03GM2Y0
Lineage: Bacteria
Description: bacterial SSU rRNA
Rfam family: Bacterial small subunit ribosomal RNA
Source: RNAcentral
GAGUUUGAUCAUGGCUCAGAUUGAACGCUGGCGGCAUGCCUUACACAUGCAAGUCGAACGGCAGCACGGGAGCUUGCUCCUGGUGGCGAGUGGCGAACGGGUGAGUAAUGCAUCGGAACGUAUCCUGGAGUGGGAGAUAACGUAGCGAAAGUUACGCUAAUACCGCAUAUUCUGUGAGCAGGAAAGCGGGGGACCUUCGGGCCUCGCGCUCUUGGAGCGGCCGAUGUCGGAUUAGCUAGUUGGUGAGGUAAAGGCUCACCAAGGCGACGAUCCGUAGCAGGUCUGAGAGGAUGAUCUGCCACACUGGAACUGAGACACGGUCCAGACUCCUACGGGAGGCAGCAGUGGGGAAUUUUGGACAAUGGGGGCAACCCUGAUCCAGCCAUGCCGCGUGAGUGAAGAAGGCCUCGGUUGUAA